UGACAAUGUCCCUGGUUGACAGCAGAAUAAGCUGAUAGAAAAUCCAGAUAUCUCUUACCCUCUGGGUCCCAUAUUGAUGAUCCCUUUGCUUCAGAGAAUACUACUGGAAUUGGGUGGUAGUUAUGGGCACUAUGGUCUUUUUCCAUAUAGAUGAGCUUCUCAGAAGCAGGAAAAGAAGAGGCACUGCUUUCAGGGACCGUAGAAAAUGG
RNAcentral lists this unclassified non-coding RNA (209 nucleotides) under Hevea brasiliensis (rubber tree). Lineage: Eukaryota; Viridiplantae; Streptophyta; Magnoliopsida; Malpighiales; Euphorbiaceae. The record is from RNAcentral.